GCCUAGCUGGCUCAGUCAGUACAGCAUGAGACUGUUGAUCUCCAGGUCAUGAGUUCAGGCCCCAUGUUGGGUG
This 73-nucleotide transfer RNA is filed under the name Felis catus (domestic cat). It matches the Rfam family "tRNA". From Rfam's summary of the family: Transfer RNA (tRNA) molecules are approximately 80 nucleotides in length. Their secondary structure includes four short double-helical elements and three loops (D, anti-codon, and T loops). The record is from Rfam by way of RNAcentral. Lineage: Eukaryota; Metazoa; Chordata; Mammalia; Carnivora; Felidae. RNAcentral also lists the same sequence under 1 other name.